This 205-nucleotide ribosomal RNA is filed under the name uncultured bacterium. Its description in RNAcentral is "partial 16S ribosomal RNA". It matches the Rfam family "Bacterial small subunit ribosomal RNA", at positions 524 to 730 of the family's 1533-position model. The record is from RNAcentral.
CACGUAGGGGACGAGCGUUGUCCGGAUUCAUUGGGCGUAAAGCGCGCGUAGGCGGCCCGGAAAGUCGGAUGUGAAAACCCGGGCUCAACCCCAGCGUGCACUCGAUACUCCCGGGCUGGAGGCAGGUAGGGGAGAUCGGAAUUCCUGGUGUAGCGGUGAAAUGCGCAGAUAUCAGGAGGAACACCGGUGGCGAAGGCGGUUCUCU